Hirundo rustica (Barn swallow) is the source of this 525-nucleotide long non-coding RNA. RefSeq lists it as uncharacterized. NCBI's taxonomy places the organism in Eukaryota, Metazoa, Chordata, Aves, Passeriformes, Hirundinidae. The transcript is spliced from 5 exons. The record is from RefSeq and is a predicted model, not a curated record.
GCGGCUGUCACGUGAUGUUUGGGUGCCGGUGGUGACGGGCGCGCGGCGGCAGGAACAAUACUGCUGAGCUGGGCCUUGGAUCCAUUGGGUUAUUGCUGCCAAAUUCCCAACAAGCGGCUUCACAACACAGCAGAAUAAAAUCGUGGAUUAGAAGAAAGUCUUGUGUGCCUAGGAGAGGAGGACUUGGGAAGCAGCUGGUCUGAAGUGUAAUCCCGCAUCCAUCACUAUCCAGAAAAUGUCUUAUGGAUCCAUCGAUGGGAGUGGAUUUGGGAGCAGGAACCCAUUUGGAGGCCCUUCGAGACAAGGCUAUCAACCUCUCGGAAUGUCUGAGACAUCGUCAGAACUGAGAGCGGGGCUGAGGACAAGGCCAGCAUUUCAGCAUCACCCUAGACAGUGGCAGAGCCUGUCUGCAGCAGAAAGCCUUAGAAGAACUCCUUGUAGCAUCUCUCCUCCUUGGCAUUUGCAUCAGGGGGGCUGUGAGUCAGGCAGGAGGGGUUCCCUGCCCAUGGCUGGGGGUUUCACUGC